AUUGAACGCUGGCGGCAGGCCUAACACAUGCAAGUCGAACGGUAACAGGAAGAAGCUUGCUUCUUUGCUGACGGGUGGCGGACGGGUGAGUAAUGUCUGGGAAACUGCCUGAUGGAGGGGGAUAACUACUGGAAACGGUAGCUAAUACCGCAUAACGUCGCAAGACCAAAGAGGGGGACCUUCGGGCCUCUUGCCAUCGGAUGUGCCCAGAUGGGAUUAGCUAGUAGGUGGGGUAACGGCUCACCUAGGCGACGAUCCCUAGCUGGUCUGAGAGGAUGACCAGCCACACUGGAACUGAGACACGGUCCAGACUCCUACGGGAGGCAGCAGUGGGGAAUAUUGCACAAUGGGCGCAAGCCUGAUGCAGCCAUGCCGCGUGUAUGAAGAAGGCCUUCGGGUUGUAAAGUACUUUCAGCGGGGAGGAAGGGAGUAAAGUUAAUACCUUUGCUCAUUGACGUUACCCGCAGAAGAAGCACCGGCUAACUCCGU
RNAcentral lists this ribosomal RNA (489 nucleotides) under uncultured bacterium. Its description in RNAcentral is "partial 16S ribosomal RNA". It matches the Rfam family "Bacterial small subunit ribosomal RNA", at positions 30 to 506 of the family's 1533-position model. The record is from RNAcentral.